AUACUUACCUGACGCGAGAGGCACCUUGAUCAACUAGGAGGUCCUCUCAGGAUGAGGCCCUUUCAUUGCACUUCGACUGGGUUGACUCCUGCGAUUACCCCUAAUGUGGGUAACUCGAGCGUAUAAUUUCUGGUAGUGGGGACCUGCGUUCGCGCUCGUCCUCU
This 164-nucleotide small nuclear RNA is filed under the name Dendronephthya gigantea. RNAcentral describes it as "U1 spliceosomal RNA". It matches the Rfam family "U1 spliceosomal RNA". From Rfam's summary of the family: U1 is a small nuclear RNA (snRNA) component of the spliceosome (involved in pre-mRNA splicing). Its 5' end forms complementary base pairs with the 5' splice junction, thus defining the 5' donor site of an intron. There are significant differences in sequence and secondary structure between metazoan and yeast U1 snRNAs, the latter being much longer (568 nucleotides as compared to 164 nucleotides in human). The record is from RNAcentral. Lineage: Eukaryota; Metazoa; Cnidaria; Anthozoa; Malacalcyonacea; Nephtheidae.